GAAUCACAGCUUCAGGAUGUUGACAGUGUGACGUUUGUUUUGAUGCAGCAGCAGCAGCACGAGUGUACAGUUUUAAACACAUAAACUGAAGAUGACAGCUCAGUGACAGUGUUUUAGUGUUAAUAAACAACAUUUAAUGCAGUCCGACAACUAAAAGAACCACAACACGCUGAGAUAAAGGACAGAAAUGCAGUGAAAAGCGACUCACCUAGAUUGAGGGAUGUGUUUGGACCGUACAGUCAACAGAAGCAGAGCUCCGGGACGUUUGGACUACGUUUACUGGCGUGAUGGACGUCUUCUGCGGACAGAUGAAAAAAGCUGCAUGCGUAGGAUAUACUAGUGAGUUUUACUUCUUAAAACCGGUGAAGAGAAGCUGUGGAUAUGGGAUUCAAAACCAAAGUUUUCUGAUGUUAAGAGAUUGAGGGAUGUGUUUGGACCGUACAGUCAACAGAAGCAGAGCUCCAGGACGUUUGGACUACGUUUUCUGGCGUGAUGGACGUCUUCUGCGGACAGGCAAACGCUCAUCCACUGCACCCUUGAGCAUGACGUUGUGUUUGGUCCUGCUUUUGAAUGAAGAAUAGCUGUGGAAAUGGGAUUCAAAACCAAAGGUUACUGAUGUGAAGACAUUCCCGGGACAGGGGCCAUCAAAGGAGACCCAACCCAGCAGCGGAGUCACGCUGUGCUGAAGACGGCUGGUGUGGAUCUGCUGGCUCUACAGUAGCAUUUAGAGAUUAUCUACAAGCUAUCAGAGAAGAGAAAGAUAAACUGCUCUUCUGCAGGUCACAGGUCAUUUCUAAAUACAUACACUCUCAUGUUUCGUUGUAGAGAUUAAGUGGCUGUUCUUGGUAAACUUUCCUAUAGUGUAAAGUUUUGGUACGGUCACUUGCAAACAUCACAAUUGAAAUGGCAAAAUUGUCAGCAAUAAUCUUUGGUUCAUUACAUAACUCCAGGUACUUUUACAUAAACAGCUGAGGGCAAAAUUACUGAUGCAAUAUUUAUUUGUUUAAUCCUGUGCAAUAUUUAUUAUUUUUCAAAUAUUUCUCAAGUGAUAUUUAAUGAAUU
Molecule: non-coding RNA, 1062 nt
Organism: Danio rerio (zebrafish)
Lineage: Eukaryota; Metazoa; Chordata; Actinopteri; Cypriniformes; Danionidae
Source: RefSeq, a predicted model, not a curated record